CUAGCCCAACCAACCACCAACUUAACUAUCACAACAACCACAAUUAAAACAUUUAAUUAUACCAUUACAGUAUAGGAGAUAGAAAUUCUAUUUGGAGCUAUAGAGAAAGUACCGCUAGGGGACGGUGGAAGAAAAAUUUAAAGUAAUAAACAGCAAAGAUCACCCCUUAUACCUUUUGCAUAAUGAACUAGCUAGAACAGUUUAGCAAAGAGACCUUAAGCUAACCCUCCCGAAACCAGACGAGCUACCUAUGAACAACCCACGGGGGUAAACUCGUCUAUGUCGCAAAAUAGUGAGAAGAUUUAUAGGUAGAGGUGCAAAGCCUAACGAGCCUGGUGAUAGCUGGUUGCCCAGAACAGAAUCUCAGUUCGACUUUAAACCAACCUACCAACCCCAAAAUUGUAACGUAAGUUUAAAAUAUAAUCUAAAAAGGUACAGCUUUUUAGAACGAGGAUACAACCUUACUUAGAGAGUAAAACUAUUACGA
This 487-nucleotide ribosomal RNA is filed under the name Enhydra lutris (sea otter). RNAcentral describes it as "partial 16S ribosomal RNA". The stretch from base 229 to 346 matches the Rfam family "Bacterial large subunit ribosomal RNA", at positions 714 to 852 of the family's 2925-position model. Lineage: Eukaryota; Metazoa; Chordata; Mammalia; Carnivora; Mustelidae. The record is from RNAcentral.